UACGUAGGGUGCGAGCGUUAAUCGGAAUUACUGGGCGUAAAGCGUGCGCAGGCGGCUUGCCAAGUCAGAUGUGAAAGCCCCGGGCUCAACCCGGGAACUGCGUUUGAAACUGGCAGGCUAGAGUUUGGCAGAGGGGGGUGGAAUUCCACGUGUAGCAGUGAAAUGCGUAGAGAUGUGGAGGAACACCGAUGGCGAAGGCAGCCCCCUGGGCCAAAACUGACGCUCAGGCACGAAAGCGUGGGGAGCAAGCAGG
RNAcentral lists this ribosomal RNA (253 nucleotides) under uncultured bacterium. Its description in RNAcentral is "partial 16S ribosomal RNA". It matches the Rfam family "Bacterial small subunit ribosomal RNA", at positions 524 to 776 of the family's 1533-position model. The record is from RNAcentral.